GGCUCCGUAGUGCAAUGGUAGCAUGGGACUGUCGGUGACGGUCUACUCUCCGGGUUCGAAUCCCGGCGGAGCCA
Molecule: non-coding RNA, 74 nt
Organism: Podospora conica
Lineage: Eukaryota; Fungi; Ascomycota; Sordariomycetes; Sordariales; Podosporaceae
Source: the annotation of a GenBank genome assembly